This is a non-coding RNA of Vicugna pacos (alpaca), 451 nucleotides long. The record is from RefSeq and is a predicted model, not a curated record. NCBI's taxonomy places the organism in Eukaryota, Metazoa, Chordata, Mammalia, Artiodactyla, Camelidae.
CUGUGUGUGUGUCUGUGUCUGUCUGUGAGCAAGAAAGAAGCCACUCAAGCACAGGUGUGAGAGAUUUUCCACCAACAAAGAAAUCACCUGUUCACAAUGUAUCAACUCUAGAAGCCAGCUGCCUAAAUUUAUAAAAUGUAUCAAAUACACAGUCCAUAAAGUAACACCUCAAUGCUGGAGAUCACGCAGGGAGGCCUUUUGUUUCUAAGGGUCUGUGUGUGGAGAGACUCGAGGAAAAGAUGCUUUGGACCACCACUUAAGGGCAUUUCCCCCAAAUCCUAGCUGGUCAGUUGAGCCAUGCGUGAUUAUCAGGAAUACUUUAGCUUAAGACCAAGUGCUAAGCUGGCCAGAACCUCCUCACUCCCUUUCCCCAGACCAUCACAGGAGCCACCUUCAGGAGAGGACACCUGGAACAUGGAGGAACAAAUCUGACUCUGUAUUAGAUCUGUUC